RNAcentral lists this ribosomal RNA (427 nucleotides) under uncultured Geobacter sp. RNAcentral describes it as "partial 16S ribosomal RNA". It matches the Rfam family "Bacterial small subunit ribosomal RNA", at positions 355 to 774 of the family's 1533-position model. The record is from RNAcentral. Lineage: Bacteria; Pseudomonadati; Thermodesulfobacteriota; Desulfuromonadia; Geobacterales; Geobacteraceae.
UGGGGAAUUUUGCGCAAUGGGCGAAAGCCUGACGCAGCAACGCCGCGUGAGUGAUGAAGGCCUUUGGGUCGUAAAGCUCUGUCAGUGGGAACGAAGUGUCGGGGGUUAAUAGCCUGCCGAUUUGACGGUACCCACAAAGGAAGCACCGGCUAACUCCGUGCCAGCAGCCGCGGUAAUACGGAGGGUGCAAGCGUUGUUCGGAUUUAUUGGGCGUAAAGGGCGUGUAGGCGGUUUCUUAAGUCUGAUGUGAAAGCCCCGGGCUCAACCUGGGAAGUGCAUUGGAAACUGGGAGACUUGAGUACGGGAGAGGGCAGUGGAAUUCCUAGUGUAGGAGUGAAAUCCGUAGAUAUUAGGAGGAACACCGGUGGCGAAGGCGGCUGCCUGGACCGAUACUGACGCUGAGACGCGAAAGCGUGGGGAGCAAACA